CAAGUACUCCCUCCAUUCCAAAUUACUCGUCGCCGAAAUGGAUAUAUGUAACAUACAUCUAUUACAUCCAUUUCAGCGACGAGUAAUUUGGAACGGAGGGAGUACUUG
This is a non-coding RNA of Triticum aestivum (bread wheat), 108 nucleotides long. The record is from Rfam. Lineage: Eukaryota; Viridiplantae; Streptophyta; Magnoliopsida; Poales; Poaceae.